CCUACGGGGGGCAGCAGUGAGGAAUAUUGGUCAAUGGGCGAGAGUCUGAACCAGCCAAGUAGCGUGAAGGAUGACUGCCCUAUGGGUUGUAAACUUCUUUUAUACGGGAAUAAAGUGGAGUAUGCAUACUCCUUUGUAUGUACCGUAUGAAUAAGGAUCGGCUAACUCCGUGCCAGCAGCCGCGGUAAUACGGAGGAUGCGAGCGUUAUCCGGAUUUAUUGGGUUUAAAGGGUGCGUAGGUGGUGAUUUAAGUCAGCGGUGAAAGUUUGUGGCUCAACCAUAAAAUUGCAGUUGAUACUGGGCGCCUUGAGUGCAGCAUAGGUAGGCGGAAUUCGUGGUGUAGCGGUGAAAUGCUUAGAUAUCACGAAGAACUCCGAUUGCGAAGGCGGCUUUCUGGACGAUGACUGACGUUGAGGCUCGAAAG
This 424-nucleotide ribosomal RNA is filed under the name uncultured Bacteroides sp. Its description in RNAcentral is "bacterial SSU rRNA". It matches the Rfam family "Bacterial small subunit ribosomal RNA", at positions 338 to 759 of the family's 1533-position model. The record is from RNAcentral. Lineage: Bacteria; Pseudomonadati; Bacteroidota; Bacteroidia; Bacteroidales; Bacteroidaceae.